GGUUGUAGCUCAGUGGUAGAGCACUUGCCUAGCAUGUGUAAGGUUCUGGGUUCCAUCCCCAGCACCA
Molecule: transfer RNA, 67 nt
Filed under: Neotoma lepida (desert woodrat)
Lineage: Eukaryota; Metazoa; Chordata; Mammalia; Rodentia; Cricetidae
Rfam family: tRNA
About the family: Transfer RNA (tRNA) molecules are approximately 80 nucleotides in length. Their secondary structure includes four short double-helical elements and three loops (D, anti-codon, and T loops).
Source: Rfam by way of RNAcentral